This 397-nucleotide ribosomal RNA is filed under the name uncultured bacterium. Its description in RNAcentral is "partial 16S ribosomal RNA". It matches the Rfam family "Bacterial small subunit ribosomal RNA", at positions 360 to 774 of the family's 1533-position model. The record is from RNAcentral.
AAUCUUGCGCAAUGGGCGAAAGCCGGACGCAGCCACGCCGCGUGAAUGAUGAAGGUCUUAGGCUUGUAAAAUUCUUUCACCUGGGACGAUAAUGACGGUAUCCGGAGUAGAAGCCCCGGCUAACUUCGUGCCAGCAGCCGCGGUAAUACGAAGGGGGCUAGCGUUGCUCGGAAUUACUGGGCGUAAAGGGCGCGUAGGCGGAUCGUUAAGUCAGGGGUGAAAUCCCGGGGCUCAACCUCGGACCUGCCCUUGAUACUGGCGAUCUUGAGUAUGAGAGAGGUAUGUGGAACUCCGAGUGUAGAGGUGAAAUUCGUAGAUAUUCGGAAGAACACCAGUGGCGAAGGCGACAUACUGGCUCAUUACUGACGCUGAGGCGCGAAAGCGUGGGGAGCAAACA